This 448-nucleotide ribosomal RNA is filed under the name uncultured Bacteroidota bacterium. Its description in RNAcentral is "bacterial SSU rRNA". It matches the Rfam family "Bacterial small subunit ribosomal RNA", at positions 1 to 439 of the family's 1533-position model. Lineage: Bacteria; Pseudomonadati; Bacteroidota. The record is from RNAcentral.
GAUCCAGACUUUGAUUCUGGCUCAGGAUGAACGCUAGCUACAGGCUUAACACAUGCAAGUCGAGGGGAAACGACAUCGAAAGCUUGCUUUUGAUGGGCGUCGACCGGCGCACGGGUGAGUAACGCGUAUCCAACCUGCCCACCACUUGGGGAUAACCUUGCGAAAGUAAGACUAAUACCCAAUGAUAUCUCUAGAAGACAUCUGAAAGGGAUUAAAGAUUUAUCGGUGAUGGAUGGGGAUGCGUCUGAUUAGCUUGUUGGCGGGGUAACGGCCCACCAAGGCUACGAUCAGUAGGGGUUCUGAGAGGAAGGUCCCCCACAUUGGAACUGAGACACGGUCCAAACUCCUACGGGAGGCAGCAGUGAGGAAUAUUGGUCAAUGGGCGAGAGCCUGAACCAGCCAAGUAGCGUGCAGGAUGACGGCCCUAUGGGUUGUAAACUGCUUUUAU